This 555-nucleotide long non-coding RNA is filed under the name Brassica napus (rape). RNAcentral's name for it is "long non-coding RNA (BNAP_LNC025068)". The record is from RNAcentral. Lineage: Eukaryota; Viridiplantae; Streptophyta; Magnoliopsida; Brassicales; Brassicaceae.
CGACAUUCAUUAUGUUUCCUGUCUUGAGAACUGUUUCUAGUAGUUUAGGAACAGUAUGCUGUUUUUUUAAUUUCUUGCAAGCCACCUGAGACCAAAAGACACAAACACUAAGAGAUUUGUAUCAAAGAAGGUUCAAAGGUCAGAACAUUGGACAAAUCAGAACCGACACAAAAACUUAAGGUCAGCACCUUGGACAAGCUCAGAAGAGAGCAAAAACUCAUCUGUUAUUAUAUAGAUUUGGUUUAGUCAUAUAAAUCUCAAAGUCUCAAAAACGAAAACCCAGUUUUGUGGUGUAUGAAACAUAUAUAUAUAAUUAAAGUAGUAAUUGUGUAUAGUUAGAGUAAAUAAUUGUUGGACCAAAAAAAUAAAAAAAUAGUUUAGAUGGUCCAAUAACUUUGCUUAAGUAGAUUUUUUAGGACUACUUCUCUUUUAAUAGUAUAGAUAUAUCAAAUUAAAUAGACAAAUUAUGUCUUGUUCUCGUUAUUUCAAGUGUGGUUUGGAUCGUUUGGUAAGAUGUCUCAUUCCUGAUAUGCUAAUAUACACUGAUGCGUCAAC